AAGGUUUUAGCUUAAUGAAAGUAUCUGGGUUGCAUUCAGAAGAUGUGAGAUAGAGUCUUGCAAAUCUUA
RNAcentral lists this transfer RNA (69 nucleotides) under Mustelus manazo (starspotted smooth-hound). RNAcentral's name for it is "tRNA-Trp". It matches the Rfam family "tRNA". Rfam says of the family: Transfer RNA (tRNA) molecules are approximately 80 nucleotides in length. Their secondary structure includes four short double-helical elements and three loops (D, anti-codon, and T loops). Further hydrogen bonds mediate the characteristic L-shaped molecular structure. tRNAs have two regions of fundamental functional importance: the anti-codon, which is responsible for specific mRNA codon recognition, and the 3' end, to which the tRNAs corresponding amino acid is attached (by aminoacyl-tRNA synthetases). tRNAs cope with the degeneracy of the genetic code in two manners: having more than one tRNA (with a specific anti-codon) for a particular amino acid; and 'wobble' base-pairing, i.e. permitting non-standard base-pairing at the 3rd anti-codon position. The record is from RNAcentral. Lineage: Eukaryota; Metazoa; Chordata; Chondrichthyes; Carcharhiniformes; Triakidae. RNAcentral also lists the same sequence under 2 other names.